This is a long non-coding RNA of Phragmites australis (common reed), 1061 nucleotides long. RefSeq lists it as uncharacterized. The record is from RefSeq and is a predicted model, not a curated record. The transcript is spliced from 3 exons. Lineage: Eukaryota; Viridiplantae; Streptophyta; Magnoliopsida; Poales; Poaceae.
GAAGCCGAGCGCCAUAGCCGCCGUCGCCGAGCCAUCCGCCGCGCCAAGUCCUCCCCGCCGCGUCCGAGCUCGCCGCCAGCUUCGCAGUAGCGGGAGGAACUCGUUUUGCUGCUCGCCGAAGUCUCUCCGCCGUCGGAACCGAGUUCUCUCCGCUCGCCGGAAGCUUCCCCGCCCGUCGGAUUCGCCUCUCCGCCGUCGCAGCCGGAUCCCCGUCGACUUCCGAGCGCCGCCGCCCGCCAUUGUCGUCGCCCGUCGCCGUCAAGACCUCCCCGGCCGUCGACAAGCCCCCGGAGGAGAGCAGAGUGCCAGCAUCCAAGACCAAGUUUUCGAAGAUUCUGAGCAGCCAGCUUACGAAGGCAAGUGUCCUUGAUCACCUUGAUUUAACCAUAGAUCAUUAUAGUUUACUUUUCCUUAGUUGCAUGCUUGUCUAAUUUUGAAUCCCAUGAAUAGGGUUUACUAGAAUUUGUAUGGCCAUUCCUUGUAGCCUUUUUGGGGUUUUGGGUCCUGUAAAAGGGUAGUCAUGCUAGUGCAGUCAUGGAUUAGAAUCAUUAUGAACUUUGAUUAAUAACUAUGGAACAAGUACUUGGGAGAAUUGAUAAUCUUGUAGUAACUUGAAUUUAGGGAUCCCAACUGGAUGGCUAGUAUGUGGUGGAGCUAUACAGCAGGGUUUGUGUAUGUUCUUGUGUGGGAUCCUAAGGACCGGUUCUUGGAGCCUGUAACCUGGCAAAACAGCACAACCAUGGGGCCUAUAUGGGUACGGCCUGGCUAAGUAAUUAGUGUUUUUCGCAUUCUGUACGCACCAAUGGUUGGUUCGGUGGCACAAGAGGGGGCCUCUGCAGUGGAUGGGAUCCCUGUUAGCGGUGAAACCUUAGUGGGUGCUUAUAGAUGUGAAGAUACUUUGUAACAGCCUUGUAGUGAGACCCCGGCCAUACACCCCGGAAGUGUAAGGCAAAAAGGGAAUCACGACUCGUGGGUAAAGUGUGCAAACUCUGCAGAGUAAAUAACUGAUCGAUCAGCCGUGCUCACGGUCAAGAGCGGCUUGGACUUCUUCAGGAUUAGAU